CCUCGUUCUUGGCGGGUCUUCUUGUCGUCACACAGAAGUUCCGAAUGCUUACAGAGGUGACAUAAAAGGAUGUGUUGGGUCUAAUGCCUUCGGUGCCUGCUCCCCAUUAGCCCCCUUGGGAAUGGACCGAGCAGGUUCCAUCCUCACUGGGCCCUACAACU
Rhipicephalus microplus (southern cattle tick) is the source of this 161-nucleotide small nucleolar RNA. RefSeq annotates it as small nucleolar RNA SNORA57. The record is from RefSeq and is a predicted model, not a curated record. NCBI's taxonomy places the organism in Eukaryota, Metazoa, Arthropoda, Arachnida, Ixodida, Ixodidae.